RNAcentral lists this ribosomal RNA (253 nucleotides) under uncultured bacterium. RNAcentral describes it as "partial 16S ribosomal RNA". It matches the Rfam family "Bacterial small subunit ribosomal RNA", at positions 524 to 776 of the family's 1533-position model. The record is from RNAcentral.
UACGUAGGGUGCAAGCGUUAAUCGGAAUUACUGGGCGUAAAGCGUGCGCAGGCGGUUGUGCAAGACAGAUGUGAAAUCCCCGGGCUUAACCUGGGAACUGCAUUUGUGACUGCACGGCUAGGGUGUGUCAGAGGGGGGUAGAAUUCCACGUGUAGCAGUGAAAUGCGUAGAGAUGUGGAGGAAUACCGAUGGCGAAGGCAGCCCCCUGGGAUAACACUGACGCUCAUGCACGAAAGCGUGGGGAGCAAACAGG